This is a transfer RNA of 85 nucleotides. The stretch from base 21 to 77 matches the Rfam family "tRNA". Rfam says of the family: Transfer RNA (tRNA) molecules are approximately 80 nucleotides in length. Their secondary structure includes four short double-helical elements and three loops (D, anti-codon, and T loops). Further hydrogen bonds mediate the characteristic L-shaped molecular structure. tRNAs have two regions of fundamental functional importance: the anti-codon, which is responsible for specific mRNA codon recognition, and the 3' end, to which the tRNAs corresponding amino acid is attached (by aminoacyl-tRNA synthetases). tRNAs cope with the degeneracy of the genetic code in two manners: having more than one tRNA (with a specific anti-codon) for a particular amino acid; and 'wobble' base-pairing, i.e. permitting non-standard base-pairing at the 3rd anti-codon position.
GCUGCGGUAUGCUCGAGUAGGGGCUAAAAAGAGCAACGGUUUCCUAAACCGUAGGUCAGGGGUUCGAAUCCCUUCCGGGACGCCA